AGACCCUACGUGGAAUAGGGUUAGCUCUCUCUACCACGAAGGAGCCAGUGCUUGGAGGGUUGCCAGAGUCAGAUCACUAUGCUGCCAACUUUCGCAUCACACGUGCUGAGGACACUUCCUCUCCUUCCUGUUGCCUAACUGCCCGGGUACAGCGGGGUUGAAUCAGAGUUCAUGGAAACUGAACCUGCUCCAGAAGCUGACUAGAGAAAAAUUAACGUUAUAACUAAACUCAUCAUUAACCAGCAACUUGAUAAUUUAUAACUGAAAUGGAAACAGUGGUGAACAGAGCAAAGUGUAACGUCAAAAUUUAUUCCACUGGGAUAAGAGGAGGGCCCGAGUAUAUGGGACUCCAGCUCUCCAGCUGCUUCCUGUAGGGUGGCUCUGUUGGUAUCUGUGUGACAGCUCUGAAAAUAUGGUCUGAGGCUCUGAAAUGUGUUUAAUAAUAGCAUUUUAAAAAAUUUA
Molecule: long non-coding RNA, 462 nt
Organism: Fukomys damarensis (Damara mole-rat)
Lineage: Eukaryota; Metazoa; Chordata; Mammalia; Rodentia; Bathyergidae
Exons: 2
Source: RefSeq, a predicted model, not a curated record